This is a long non-coding RNA of Oryzias latipes (Japanese medaka), 1022 nucleotides long. RefSeq lists it as uncharacterized. The record is from RefSeq and is a predicted model, not a curated record. Lineage: Eukaryota; Metazoa; Chordata; Actinopteri; Beloniformes; Adrianichthyidae.
GACACGACAUCCAAUACUGGAUGAACUCUUGACACUUGUAGAAGUACUUCUGCACCGUGUAUGUUUUGUGUUCUUGGAAUCUGAAUUACCUUUUUAAAUAUUGGACUUUGGAUCUGGUGAUGUCUGACCUGCCGAGAUGGAUGCAUAUUUCAAAAGCAAUAAGCACAGAAAACGAAAUAAGGAGAGAGCAACACAGCUUGGUCUGCUCCACUUCCGUUAUUGGUGGUUCAAAGAGAAUUGCAACAACCCACAUAAAAAAGCGACAUACUGUUUUACAAGUUAAACAUUUUAAUUUAGAUGCAGUAAAGACUUGUAAUAACAUCUCUCCCUACUGCACCUCCGAUUGGAGUCUUAACUAGCAGACGUUUUAUUGCCCCACAUAAGUGGCCAUAAUUCCAAUUUUAUCCUCUUUUCUUUGCAAAUGAACAACCGCAUUUUCAUUUAAAUCCUAUUAUCUGGAUGAUGCCUCAUGUUCAAGUUUUUUUUUAUUUCUAUUUGUUUGGGUGCAUGUUGUUAUUGCCCCCAGCUUGCUGUUUUAAGGAGAAGAACAAAUUUUUCCUUUGUUUCCAAUUUCGUUUGUGAUAAAAACUAAAAUUUGUCUGGGGAAAAUAAAGUUGAUUACCCUAUGUGUUUAAGCACUACACUGCCAUAAAUAUAGUGGUAUAUGUGAUGUUUAACCCUUGUGCUUGUUAUGGUGCCUGUCAGUCUCCUCCCCCUCCCCCUCCUGCUCUGCACCUGACUCCACCAGCUGGGACCUAUUCACCUAAUCACCUGCUUCAGCUCUUAAGGAGACUCAGCCUCAGUAUUCGACGCCAGUUCGUUGCCCCUUAUGGAUUCCAGCCUUCAAUUGUCUCCUGUGUGGAAGUCAGUCCGAGCCCUCCAGAAGCCCUGUGAAAACUUCAAGCUCAGUAAAGCCGCUCUACUACCUCCAGCCACGCCACAAGCCACUGUCCUCGCCAGCUUCUUACCAAGCCAUCACCAUCUCUCCUGGAAAGAAAAUAAAAUCUCUUCCUUAACUCUCA